GACAGAGGGUGCGAACGUUGUUCGGAAUUACUGGGCGUAAAGCGUGCGCAGGCGGUUGUGCAAGACCGAUGUGAAAUCCCCGGGCUUAACCUGGGAACUGCAUUGGUGACUGCACGGCUAGAGUGUGUCAGAGGGGGGUAGAAUUCCACGUGUAGCAGUGAAAUGCGUAGAGAUGUGGAGGAAUACCGAUGGCGAAGGCAGCCCCCUGGGAUAACACUGACGCUCAUGCACGAAAGCGUGGGGAGCAAACAGG
Molecule: ribosomal RNA, 253 nt
Filed under: uncultured bacterium
Lineage: Bacteria
Description: partial 16S ribosomal RNA
Rfam family: Bacterial small subunit ribosomal RNA
Source: RNAcentral